RNAcentral lists this unclassified non-coding RNA (329 nucleotides) under plant metagenome. Its description in RNAcentral is "partial contains 5.8S ribosomal RNA, internal transcribed spacer 2, and large subunit ribosomal RNA". The stretch from base 1 to 105 matches the Rfam family "5.8S ribosomal RNA", at positions 50 to 154 of the family's 154-position model. The record is from RNAcentral.
GAAAUGCGAUAAGUAAUGUGAAUUGCAGAAUUCCGUGAAUCAUCGAAUCUUUGAACGCACAUUGCGCCCUCUGGUAUUCCGGGGGGAAUGCCUGUCCGAGCGUCAUUGCGAACCCCUCAAGCACGGCUUGUGUGAUGGGCCCUCCCGCGUCUUGGUCGUCAAGACGGGCCCGAAAUGCAGUGGCGGCUUCGCGGUUAUCCGAUCAGCCAGAGCGUAUGGGGACUUUCUCUCUGUCACACGCCCGCGGCGCGGACCGACGCCUGUCGACCUUCAUUCAUCGUUUUCUCGGUUGACCUCGGAUCAGGUAGGGAUACCCGCUGAACUUAAGC